RNAcentral lists this ribosomal RNA (253 nucleotides) under uncultured bacterium. Its description in RNAcentral is "partial 16S ribosomal RNA". It matches the Rfam family "Bacterial small subunit ribosomal RNA", at positions 524 to 776 of the family's 1533-position model. The record is from RNAcentral.
GACGUAGGGGGCCAGCGUUGUUCGGAAUUACUGGGCGUAAAGCGCGUGUAGGCGGCUUUACAAGUCGGAUGUGAAAGCCCACGGCUCAACCGUGGAAGUGCAUCCGAAACUGUAUCGCUGGAGUCCCGGAGAGGAAGGUGGAAUGCUUGGUGUAGAGGUGAAAUUCGUAGAUAUCAAGCAGAACACCUGCGGCGAAGGCGGCCCUCUGGACGGUGACUGACGCUGAGACGCGAAAGCGUGGGGAGCAAACAGG